This 207-nucleotide ribosomal RNA is filed under the name uncultured bacterium. RNAcentral describes it as "partial 16S ribosomal RNA". It matches the Rfam family "Bacterial small subunit ribosomal RNA", at positions 568 to 774 of the family's 1533-position model. The record is from RNAcentral.
CGUGUAGGCGGGACGGUAAGUCGGGCGUGAAAUCCCUGGGCUCAACCCAGGAACUGCACUCGAAACUACCAUUCUUGAGUGUCGGAGAGGAAAGCGGAAUUCCUGGUGUAGAGGUGAAAUUCGUAGAUAUCAGGAGGAACACCAGUGGCGAAGGCGGCUUUCUGGACGAUAACUGACGCUGAGACGCGAAAGCGUGGGGAGCAAACA